This 468-nucleotide ribosomal RNA is filed under the name uncultured bacterium. RNAcentral's name for it is "partial 16S ribosomal RNA". It matches the Rfam family "Bacterial small subunit ribosomal RNA", at positions 28 to 507 of the family's 1533-position model. The record is from RNAcentral.
GACGAACGCUGGCGGCGUGCUUAACACAUGCAAGUCGAACGGAAAGGCCCUGCUUUUGUGGGGUGCUCGAGUGGCGAACGGGUGAGUAACACGUGAGUAACCUGCCCUUGACUUUGGGAUAACUUCAGGAAACUGGGGCUAAUACCGGAUAGGAGCUCCUGCUGCAUGGUGGGGGUUGGAAAGUUUCGGCGGUUGGGGAUGGACUCGCGGCUUAUCAGCUUGUUGGUGGGGUAGUGGCUUACCAAGGCUUUGACGGGUAGCCGGCCUGAGAGGGUGACCGGCCACAUUGGGACUGAGAUACGGCCCAUACUCCUACGGGAGGCAGCAGUGGGGAAUAUUGCACAAUGGGCGGAAGCCUGAUGCAGCAACGCCGCGUGCGGGAUGACUGCCUUCGGGUUGUAAACCGCUUUCGCCUGUGACGAAGCGUGAGUGACGGUAAUGGGUAAAGAAGCACCGGCUAACUACGUG